CGGAAAAUGAAUUAUUUACGACGCGUGACGCUGAGAAAAAUAGUCCUACGCAAUAAGACGAUUUAUUUUAUUUUUAACAGUCGUAUUUUUCCACUAAUAUGGGUACCUGUUGUUGAAGCAGUAGUUGUGAUAUUAAGGCACGGCAGUUUUCUUUUAAUAAUAUUUCUGCGUUCAUAUUGUGACGUGUACGACGGUGACAAUACGC
Molecule: non-coding RNA, 205 nt
Organism: Cinara cedri
Lineage: Eukaryota; Metazoa; Arthropoda; Insecta; Hemiptera; Aphididae
Source: the annotation of a GenBank genome assembly